RNAcentral lists this ribosomal RNA (253 nucleotides) under uncultured bacterium. RNAcentral's name for it is "partial 16S ribosomal RNA". It matches the Rfam family "Bacterial small subunit ribosomal RNA", at positions 524 to 776 of the family's 1533-position model. The record is from RNAcentral.
UACAGAGGUCUCAAGCGUUGUCCGGAUUUAUUGGGCGUAAAGGGUGCGUAGGUGGCGCGCUAAGUCGGGUGUGAAAUUUCGGAGCUUAACUCCGAAACUGCAUUCGAUACUGGUGUGCUUGAGGACUGGAGAGGAGACUGGAAUUCAUGGUGUAGCAGUGAAAUGCGUAGAGAUCAUGAGGAAGACCAGUGGCGAAGGCGGGUCUCUGGACAGUUCCUGACACUGAGGCACGAAGGCCAGGGGAGCAAACGGG